Molecule: long non-coding RNA, 563 nt
Filed under: Bos taurus (domestic cattle)
Lineage: Eukaryota; Metazoa; Chordata; Mammalia; Artiodactyla; Bovidae
Description: long non-coding RNA NONBTAT000492
Source: RNAcentral
UUUUCCUUAAAGAAAGCACUUUAUUUUCCAUUUAAACAACUUGGUCACAGUACAUUAUUUUACAUGAAUGGCAGUCAGUCUUUAAAUUUCCAUUUGAAAGGCCUUGUGUCUGAGGUGAUAAGAGGAUACGAAUACAAGUAUAAAAACAGUGCAAAACAUUUAGCCCACAGCCUCCAGAGUUGGCUUCAGAAAUCCCCUCUAGCGUUGCUGAGUUAAAUAGACUAGCUGUGGUUUUAAAGCUUUGCUCUUACAAGUAUGAUUUUUCUAGAAGUAAAAGAUGCCAUCAGGAAGGUUAGAGUAGUGACGAGUCACAGGCCUGACGGAAAUAGUCACAACCCCUAAAGAAGGUCUCUGUUCAACCAGUUUUUGACCUGCUGCUGCUACUACAGUGAAAAGCUUUGUGCCAACUGAAGUGGGAAUAACUAUCCAUUAGAAACAGGAUUAAAUGUAGCUGAUUUUGCAAAAAGUUUGUAUUAGUCACAACAAACAUCCACAAGAACAUACUGAAUUUUCUUCAGCAUUAAGUGAAGCUUACUUCUCAUUCACCACCUGCAUCAUGUCUG